CUGGCAAACUGGGAGGAGCUCGAUCCUUCCACCGUUGUGGAAUCUAGUUGGGGCCAAAGCUCAGAGGCACAUAGCCAGAUCCUUCGAGUCCUAGGAGACCAUUUUCAGAAGGUGGAGGAUCUUGGAGAGGGCAUUUGGAAGUAUGUCGCAGAGCGGCUGCGAAACUAUUUUGAUCUUGCACAGUACGAAGACACUGCAAAACUUGUUGCCGCUGUGGAAGUAGUAGAGAGAGUCGAUCUUCACGACAA
Molecule: non-coding RNA, 248 nt
Filed under: Thraustochytrium sp. LLF1b
Lineage: Eukaryota; Bigyra; Thraustochytrida; Thraustochytriidae
Source: RNAcentral